This 64-nucleotide transfer RNA is filed under the name Lygodactylus nyaneka. RNAcentral describes it as "tRNA-Trp". The record is from RNAcentral. Lineage: Eukaryota; Metazoa; Chordata; Lepidosauria; Squamata; Gekkonidae.
AAGUUUAGGUUCACAAAACCAAGAGCCUUCAAAGUUCCCAACAGGGCCAAUGCCCUAACUUAUG